AACGAACGCUGGCGGCAGGCCUAACACAUGUAAGUCGAGCGCGCCCUUCGGGGUGAGCGGCGGACGGGUGAGUAACGCGUGGGAACGUGCCCUUCUCUGCGGAAUAGCCUCGGGAAACUGAGAGUAAUACCGCAUACGCCCUUUGGGGGAAAGAUUUAUCGGAGAGGGAUCGGCCCGCGUUGGAUUAGGUAGUUGGUGGGGUAAUGGCCCACCAAGCCGACGAUCCAUAGCUGGUUUGAGAGGAUGAUCAGCCACACUGGGACUGAGACACGGCCCAGACUCCUACGGGAGGCAGCAGUGGGGAAUCUUAGACAAUGGGGGCAACCCUGAUCUAGCCAUGCCGCGUGAGUGAUGAAGGCCUUAGGGUUGUAAAGCUCUUUCAGCUGGGAAGAUAAUGACGGUACCAGCAGAAGAAGCCCCGGCUAACUCCGUG
This 433-nucleotide ribosomal RNA is filed under the name uncultured bacterium. RNAcentral's name for it is "partial 16S ribosomal RNA". It matches the Rfam family "Bacterial small subunit ribosomal RNA", at positions 29 to 507 of the family's 1533-position model. The record is from RNAcentral.